UGAGUAACACGUGAGUGACCUGCCUUUUAGACUGGAACAACUUACCGAAAGGUGAGCUAAUGCCGGAUGAGUUAUAUAAGUGCAUGUUUAUAUAGGAAAAGUUGGGGAGACCUGACGCUGAAAGAUGGACCCGCGUCCCAUUAGCUAGUUGGUAGGGUAAUGGCCUACCAAGGCGACGAUGGGUAGCCGGCCUGAGAGGGUGGCCGGCCACACUGGGACUGAGACACGGCCCAGACUCCUACGGAAGGCAGCAG
RNAcentral lists this ribosomal RNA (254 nucleotides) under uncultured bacterium. RNAcentral describes it as "partial 16S ribosomal RNA". It matches the Rfam family "Bacterial small subunit ribosomal RNA", at positions 107 to 354 of the family's 1533-position model. The record is from RNAcentral.